This 360-nucleotide unclassified non-coding RNA is filed under the name soil metagenome. RNAcentral describes it as "partial contains 5.8S ribosomal RNA, internal transcribed spacer 2, and large subunit ribosomal RNA". The stretch from base 1 to 120 matches the Rfam family "5.8S ribosomal RNA", at positions 35 to 154 of the family's 154-position model. The record is from RNAcentral.
GAUGAAGAACGCAGCGAAAUGCGAUAAGUAAUGUGAAUUGCAGAAUUCAGUGAAUCAUCGAAUCUUUGAACGCACAUUGCGCCCGCCAGUAUUCUGGCGGGCAUGCCUGUCCGGGCGUCAUUUCAACCCUCGGGCCCCCCUCUGCGGGCGGCCCGGCGUUGGGGCUCAGGCGCCGUCUCUGCUCGGCGCCUGUCCCCUAAAUGCAGUGGCGGCCUCGCCGCUGCCUCCUCCGCGUAGUAGCACAAACCUCGCGGCUGGAAGGCGGCGCGGCCACGCCGUAAAACCCCCCAACUUUACCAAGGUUGACCUCGGAUCAGGUAGGAAUACCCGCUGAACUUAAGCAUAUCAAUAAGCGGAGGA